RNAcentral lists this long non-coding RNA (283 nucleotides) under Phoenix dactylifera (date palm). RNAcentral describes it as "long non-coding RNA (PDAC_LNC006745)". Lineage: Eukaryota; Viridiplantae; Streptophyta; Magnoliopsida; Arecales; Arecaceae. The record is from RNAcentral.
UAUUAUAUAAUUAUAUCGCGAUAAAGAAUAGUAUUGAAAAGAAACCCUAUUUAUUAUUAGAUAAGUAAUGUAGUCAAUGAAAUGUGCUUUUUUUUUAAAAAAAAAUCAGUUGAUAUCGAUUGAACAUUUGAAAAUAUUUCAAUAUAUUCUUUGCGAAUUCAAUGGAAGUUAUAUUGAUUGAAAAAUAUAAAACAUCAGCUGUCCUGCAAGACCCGCCUUAGGUAGUGGGCCACCACCGUUUCCAGUCUAAAAUAGACGUCCGGGUCUAAUGCAAUAUAAAUCA